This 76-nucleotide transfer RNA is filed under the name Candidatus Peribacteraceae bacterium. Its description in RNAcentral is "tRNA-Arg". It matches the Rfam family "tRNA". Rfam says of the family: Transfer RNA (tRNA) molecules are approximately 80 nucleotides in length. Their secondary structure includes four short double-helical elements and three loops (D, anti-codon, and T loops). Lineage: Bacteria; Candidatus Peregrinibacteriota; Candidatus Peribacteria; Candidatus Peribacterales. The record is from RNAcentral.
GCGCCCGUAGCUCAAUGGAUAGAGUGUCUCCCUCCGAAGGAGAAGGUUGUGGGUUCGACCCCCGCCGGGCGCACCA